UGUGCCAGUGUUACCGUUGGCUGUGGUCACUAGCUGGCUGCGCAGUCUGUGCAUUCCACGGCGGGGCUCCAGCAAGGCGAAGCGCGUUGCUGGGGAGCGGAUGUAUGAGCCCCAGGUUUCUGACAUGGACAUUACUGAUGACGCCUCUGCUGAAAAAACCUCAUUAUCAUGGAGCAUCUUAAACUAAGAAAAAAAAGAUCAAAAAACAAAACAAAGCAAAAAAAGCCUGGAGAAGCAUAAAUAAAGCCCGGAGAUAAUACUCUCUUCUGCUCAUUUGCUAAGAGCAAAUUCUCACUGGGUCUGCUUUCCUUUGGGCCCAUUACAUAGAUAAGGUGGGCAAGAAAGGAUGGAUGAGAACAGAAAGUAAAGUGAGCAUGCAAGUCAGACUCUUGUUUGUGGGUGGUACUGAAUUCCCUGUCACAGCUUUGUGAAUUUAACAUUUCUCUUUUUGCUUUCAUCAAGAAAUUGAGAUGACAAUUUUAUUGCCCCGAAAAUUAUAAUAUUCAAUCUCUAGUCUGAACAUACCGCUCUUUCCCAGCAUUCAUCACGCUACCUGGUUGCCACUGUGACAUCAGCAGAGGUAACUGGCUGCAAACUUGGAUUUUGUGCUUUUCUUUUCAGAUAGCCCGGAGUGGAGAAACAUUUUUUUCAGGAGUGAUAAAUACAUGCUGGCAGCACAAUGUUGUUUCCUGGCACCAGGGAGACUCCGAGCUCCAGGAAACACGGGAGGCUUUAGGGGCUGAAGGAGUUCAUCUGCACAGACAGGCUUCCUGCUGGAAAAUCGGCCAAGUGGAGAGACGCUAACGAUGGGGUAUCUGGGCUGCCCAGGCUCUAUAGCUUUGAAGAGACACUUCUGGCCUCAGUGACAUGUCUCAUUUGUCACCAUUUUCCUUGGCUCCUAAACUAUCCCUUAGAGUACAACAACUACCAACCACCUAGUACUUGCAUUACAACAGAAAGACUGUGAAGCAGUAAAUCUGAGUCAUAGUCAUGACCUUGUUCAAAACUGUCAAAAGGUUACCAAGUUAACUAUAAAAUCAAGACAUUCUAUAUCUUAAGCUCUGUAAUUGAAUGUUUGUCCUACGAGGUUUCCCUCUGAACUCAGUGUAUUGUUGGCUUGUUGGUGGAUUCUAGAGCCAGAGGAGCUGGGUUUGAAUAAACACUGCACCACGUAUGAGGUCACUAAUGUAACCUUAA
This is a long non-coding RNA of Pteropus alecto (black flying fox), 1197 nucleotides long. RefSeq lists it as uncharacterized. Lineage: Eukaryota; Metazoa; Chordata; Mammalia; Chiroptera; Pteropodidae. The transcript is spliced from 3 exons. The record is from RefSeq and is a predicted model, not a curated record.